AGCUUGUCACACUGCAGGAAAUGGUCUGUAUGAAGGUGGAACAUGUUUUAAAACAGUCAUGAAUGGAGCAGUUGAAGUGUCUGAGUCACUCGUGGUGCAGUUGGGACUCAUCUGGCACCACAGCCCUCCAGGAACAUGUCUCCAGCAUUUGGACUGGACUGAGCAAGGAUGUCCCAGGGCAUCCCUCCAGCCCCAGCUGGCUGCUCUGGUUUCCCUGCAGGUCCUUAGGGUCACCUCACUCCAUCCCAAGCAUAUGCUGGUCCUGACAUGCCUGGCAUGAGCAGUGUAGGAGCACAUGCUGCCCCUGGUCAUCUCUCCUGGUGAUGCUAGGGCCACACAGGUAUCUGCUGAGCACCACGAGAAGCAUUUCACAGCUGUUACCUUGUAUGUCCUGGGGUUAUGGGUCAGGAGAAGGCUGAAUGUGCAGCUCCCAGGUACCUGCAGGCCACCAUCCAUUGGAGCCACAUAGCCUGCUGUUGUUUGGUGAGUUGUGUGCUCAUCAGUUGGGCUGGGAAGAGCAGUUAAUGAAGAAGCACAUGUGCAGUGUUCACAGACUGUCCUUCAACAGGCACCCUGUGCAGAACAGAGAACAGGAAAACAAAACGAGCAGAAGCUGCUCUUUCUUCUUUCCCAGGACAUCCUGUCCUGGCCACCCCCAUUCCACUGCGAGCCCCAACUCCAGGACCUGGGAAUGUGCCCAGAAACCUGGACAGCCAUCCAUCCCCAGGGAAGCAGACUGGAAGGUGCCACCUCUUUGGUGUCCAUGUGAGACUUCAUACUAUGCUUUGGUCCCAGAGGAACUGCCCAUCACCUGAGAUGGGGAUGGUCCAUCACAUGAAGAGCUGCAGCCCCAGGCCUGGGUUUUGCUGGAGGCUCUGAGCAUGACUUUCCAGCAGUGAAGGAGCACGGAGGAGUUUACCUGGAGCACCCUGAGAAUGACCACAGCCAGAAGAUGACCUCACUUGAAAGAAAUCUGGGUGUUAUAUUUACACUUCUCUGACAAAAGGACCCAUUUCCCAAAGAUGAGGGUGGUAUGAACAUUUUGCAUUCAUUACAAAAAAAUUGUCUGACUUCUAUAUUUAGAA
This is a long non-coding RNA of Apus apus (common swift), 1085 nucleotides long. RefSeq lists it as uncharacterized. The record is from RefSeq and is a predicted model, not a curated record. The transcript is spliced from 2 exons. Lineage: Eukaryota; Metazoa; Chordata; Aves; Apodiformes; Apodidae.